This 353-nucleotide unclassified non-coding RNA is filed under the name soil metagenome. RNAcentral's name for it is "partial contains 5.8S ribosomal RNA, internal transcribed spacer 2, and large subunit ribosomal RNA". The stretch from base 1 to 120 matches the Rfam family "5.8S ribosomal RNA", at positions 35 to 154 of the family's 154-position model. The record is from RNAcentral.
GAUGAACAACGCAGCGAAAUGCGAUAAGUAAUGUGAAUUGCAGAAUUCAGUGAAUCAUCGAAUCUUUGAACGCACAUUGCGCCCGCCAGUAUUCUGGCGGGCAUGCCUGUUCGAGCGUCAUUACAACCCUCAGGCCCCCGGGCCUGGCGUUGGGGAUCGGCGGAAGCCCCCUGCGGGCACAACGCCGUCCCCCAAAUACAGUGGCGGUCCCGCCGCAGCUUCCAUUGCGUAGUAGCUAACACCUCGCAACUGGAGAGCGGCGCGGCCACGCCGUAAAACACCCAACUUCUGAAUGUUGACCUCGAAUCAGGUAGGAAUACCCGCUGAACUUAAGCAUAUCAAUAAGCGGAGGA